Molecule: ribosomal RNA, 455 nt
Filed under: uncultured Acidobacteriota bacterium
Lineage: Bacteria; Pseudomonadati; Acidobacteriota
Description: bacterial SSU rRNA
Rfam family: Bacterial small subunit ribosomal RNA
Source: RNAcentral
UGGGGAAUUUUGCGCAAUGGGCGAAAGCCUGACGCAGCAACGCCGCGUGGAGGAUGAAGGUCUUCGGAUCGUAAACUCCUGUCGAUGGGGACGAAAGCCCGCAAGGGUUUGACUGUACCCGUUGAGGAAGCCACGGCUAACUCCGUGCCAGCAGCCGCGGUAAUACGGAGGUGGCAAGCGUUGUUCGGAAUUACUGGGCGUAAAGGGCGCGUAGGCGGUUGGGCAAGUCAGAUGUGAAAGCCCCGAGCUUAACUCGGGAAUUGCAUCUGAAACUGCUUAACUUGAGUCCUGGAUGGGGUAGUGGAAUUCCCAGUGUAGCGGUGAAAUGCGUAGAUAUUGGGAGGAACACCUGCGGCGAAGGCGGCUACCUGGACAGUGACUGACGCUGAGGCGCGAAGCUAGGGGAGCGAACGGGAUUAGAUACCCCGGUAGUCCUAGCCGUAAACGAUGGGCAC